RNAcentral lists this unclassified non-coding RNA (314 nucleotides) under plant metagenome. RNAcentral's name for it is "partial contains 5.8S ribosomal RNA, internal transcribed spacer 2, and large subunit ribosomal RNA". The stretch from base 1 to 105 matches the Rfam family "5.8S ribosomal RNA", at positions 50 to 154 of the family's 154-position model. The record is from RNAcentral.
GAAAUGCGAUAAUUAAUGUGAAUUGUAGAAUUCAGUGAAUCGUCGAGUCUUUGAACGCACAUUGCGCCCCCUGGUAUUCCGGGGGGCAUGCCUGUCCGAGCGUCAUUGCUGCCCUCAAGCACGGCUUGUGUGUUGGGCUUCCGUCCCUGGCAACGGGGACGGGCCCAAAAGGCAGUGGCGGCACCAUGUCUGGUCCUCGAGCGUAUGGGGCUUUGUCACCCGCUCCCGUAGGUCCAGCUGGCAGCUAGCCUCGCAACCAAUCUUUUUAACCAGGUUGACCUCGGAUCAGGUAGGGAUACCCGCUGAACUUAAGC